This 1033-nucleotide unclassified non-coding RNA is filed under the name Hevea brasiliensis (rubber tree). Lineage: Eukaryota; Viridiplantae; Streptophyta; Magnoliopsida; Malpighiales; Euphorbiaceae. The record is from RNAcentral.
AUUCAAUGUUAAGGCAGUUAUUUUUCAUAAAAAUAUAUGAAUUAGAAAGUAUUUUACUAGAAAAGGAUUACAUUCAUAAAAAUAAAAAUAAAUAAUCAUCCCACAAAUACUUCAUACACAGAUUUCCCACACAAAGCUCUCCUCUAUCAACCAUGUAGAAAGGUUAUCAAGGAGCAUGGUACAGGCCUCAAAGAGAGAAUACCGACUCUACUGCAACAAUAGCAUAAUUAUGCACCGCAGGGUGGCGCGUGGGGUUUCUAAAACACGAGUCAAGAAGCUUCUGGACGACGAUUCAUAUGUAUUGAUCAACUAGAGAAAAAGCCAGGGUGGAAAACACACAAGCUUAAAACCAAUUCAAUCUACCACCCACCAUGCCUAGUACUAUUGAAUGAAACAUUAUUUUCAUUACACUGCUACGUGUAGGCCUCCAAUCAUGUAGAACACAGAUAUAUCAUUAUGAUUUGAAAAGACAAAAUUCAUUUAGAAUGCACUUCCAAGAAAAAACUCAUACUAACAAUCAGAGUCAGAGAUUUUCUCCUCCUUAGGUGGUGCAAACUGCCGGCUAAGCCGAGAUCUUGUCCAGGGGUCCAUGGCUGGUCUCUGUGGGGGUUGAGGAUUUGGUGGUUUGGAUUGUCUAAGUUCAUUUUCUCUAUCAAUAAACUCUAUAUAGGCCAUUGGUGCAGCAUCACCUACUCGAAUGCGAGUUCGGAGCAUUCUCGUGUAUCCACCAGCUCUAUCUUUGUAUCUGUAAGCCAAUUCAGUAAAGAGCUUAUGAAUGACAUCAUCCCCACGCACAAAGGCAGCUGCCUGUCUUGCAGCACAUAGAGUUCCCUCCUUUCCAAACUGAACCAUAUUGUCGGCCAACCUUCUGACUUCCUUUGCCUUAGCAACGGUGGUUUCAAUCCGCUCGUGCUUCACUAAUUGUGACACCAUUGUCCUGAGCAUGGACAUCCGAUGUCCCGUCGGACGAUUCAAUUUCCUGAAUUUGGUCAUUUUGGGAUCACCGGAGAAACGGGAAAGAGGAGAGAAUGGG